AGUAGCUGCUCUGUGCCCUUGUUGCCCAGGGCCUCUUCCUGGGUCACUCCUGGAGCAGGGGCCGGACUGGAGCUGACACCGGGGCUCCGGCGUGGCCCUCUCGGCGCCCGUGUGACCUCCUCGCCGGCGGGAUGUGGCGACUACGCCGAGCCGCCGUGGCUUGUGAGGUCUGCCAAUCCUUAGUGAAACGUAGCUCUGGAAUCAAAGGAAGCUUACCACUACAAAAACUGCAUCUGGUUUCACGAAGUGUUUAUCAUUCACAUCAUCCUACCUUAAAGCUUCAAAGACCCCAAUUCCGGACAUCAUUUCAUCAGUUCUCCUCUUUAGCUAACCUUCCGUUACGUAAAUUGAAGCUUUCUCCAAUUAAAUAUGGCUACCAGCCUCGCAGGAAUUUUUGGCCAGCGAGAUUAGCUGCAAGACUCUUAAAACUUCGAUAUCUCAUACUAGGAUCUGCUGUUGGCGGUGGCUAUACAGCCAAAAAAACUUUUGAUCAGUGGAAAGAUAUGAUACCUGACCUCAGUGACUAUAAAUGGAUUGUGCCUGACAUUGUGUGGGAGAUUGAUGAGUAUAUUGAUUUAGAGAAAAUUAGAAAAGCACUUCCUAAUUCAGACGACCUUGCAAAAUUGGCACCUGACUUUGAUAAAAUUGUUGAAAGCCUCAGUUUACUGAAGGACUUUUUCACCACAGGUCACAAAUUGGUUAGUGAAGUCAUAGGAGCUUCUGACCUACUUCUCUUGUUAGGUUCACCUGGAGAAACAGCAUUCAGAGCAACAGAUCACGGAUCUGAAAGUGACAAGCAUUAUAGAAAGGGUCUGCUUGGUGAGCUCAUUCUCUUACAACAGCAAAUUCAAGAGCAUGAAGAGGAAGCGCGCAGAGCCGCUGGCCAAUAUAGCACAAGCUAUGCCCAACAGAAGCGCAAGGUUACAGACAAAGAAAAAAUUGACCAGCUUCAAGAAGAACUUCUGCAUACUCAGUUAAAGUACCAGAGGAUCUUGGAACGAUUAGAAAAAGAGAACAAAGAAUUAAGAAAAUUAGUAUUACAGAAAGAUGACAAAGGCAUCCAUCACAGAAAGCUUAAGAAAUCCUUGAUUGACAUGUAUUCUGAAGUUCUUGAUGUUCUAUCUGAUUAUGACGCCAGUUACAAUACACAAGAUCAUCUGCCAAGGGUUGUUGUGGUUGGAGAUCAGAGUGCUGGAAAAACUAGUGUGCUGGAAAUGAUUGCCCAAGCACGGAUAUUCCCUCGAGGAUCUGGGGAGAUGAUGACACGUUCUCCAGUUAAGGUCACUCUGAGUGAAGGUCCUCACCACGUGGCCUUGUUUAAAGAUAGUUCUCGGGAGUUCGAUCUUACCAAAGAGGAGGAUCUUGCAGCACUAAGACAUGAAAUAGAACUCCGAAUGAGGAAAAAUGUGAAAGAAGGCUGUACUGUUAGUCCUGAGACCAUAUCCUUAAACGUAAAAGGCCCCGGACUGCAAAGGAUGGUGCUUGUUGACUUACCAGGUGUGAUUAAUACUGUGACAUCAGGCAUGGCUCCUGACACAAAGGAAACUAUUUUCAGUAUCAGCAAAGCUUAUAUGCAGAAUCCUAAUGCCAUCAUACUGUGUAUUCAAGAUGGAUCUGUGGAUGCUGAACGUAGCAUUGUUACAGAUUUGGUCAGUCAAAUGGAUCCUCAUGGAAGGAGGACGAUAUUUGUUUUGACCAAAGUAGACCUGGCAGAAAAAAACGUGGCUAGCCCGAGCAGGAUUCAGCAGAUAAUUGAAGGAAAACUCUUCCCAAUGAAAGCUCUAGGUUAUUUUGCUGUUGUAACAGGAAAAGGGAACAGCUCUGAAAGCAUUGAAGCUAUAAGAGAAUAUGAAGAAGAAUUUUUUCAGAAUUCAAAACUCCUAAAGACAAGCAUGCUAAAGGCACACCAAGUGACUACAAGAAAUUUAAGCCUUGCUGUAUCAGACUGCUUUUGGAAAAUGGUACGAGAGUCCGUUGAGCAACAGGCUGAUAGUUUCAAAGCAACACGUUUUAACCUUGAAACUGAGUGGAAGAAUAACUAUCCUCGUCUACGAGAACUUGACCGGAACGAACUAUUUGAAAAAGCUAAAAAUGAAAUCCUCGAUGAAGUUAUCAGUCUGAGCCAGGUCACACCAAAACAUUGGGAGGAAAUCCUUCAGCAGUCUUUGUGGGAAAGAGUAUCAACUCAUGUGAUUGAAAACAUCUAUCUUCCAGCUGCACAGACCAUGAAUUCAGGGACUUUUAAUACAACAGUGGACAUCAAGCUUAAACAGUGGACUGAUAAACAGCUUCCUAAUAAAGCAGUAGAGGUUGCUUGGGAGACCCUACAAGAAGAAUUUUCCCGCUUCAUGACAGAACCAAAAGGGAAAGAGCAUGAUGACAUAUUUGAUAAACUUAAAGAGGCUGUUAAGGAAGAAAGUAUUAAGCGCCACAAGUGGAAUGAUUUUGCGGAGGACAGCUUGAGGGUUAUCCAGCACAAUGCUUUAGAAGACCGUUCCAUAUCUGAUAAACAACAGUGGGAUGCCGCUAUUUAUUUUAUGGAAGAAGCUCUUCAGGCUCGCCUCAAGGACACUGAAAAUGCAAUUGAAAACAUGAUAGGUCCAGAUUGGAAAAAGAGAUGGUUAUACUGGAAGAACCGGACCCAAGAACAGUUUGUCCACAACGAAACCAAGAACGAAUUGGAGAAGAUGUUGAAGUGUAACGAGGAGCACCCGGCAUAUCUCGCAAGCGAUGAGAUAACCACAGUGCGAAAGAACCUGGAAUCCCGAGGGGUAGAAGUGGACCCAAGCUUGAUUAAAGAUACUUGGCACCAAGUUUAUAGAAGACAUUUCUUGAAAACAGCUCUAAACCAUUGUAACCUUUGUCGAAGAGGCUUUUACUACUACCAAAGGCAUUUUGUAGAUUCUGAGUUGGAAUGCAAUGAUGUUGUCCUGUUCUGGCGAAUACAACGCAUGCUUGCCAUCACUGCAAAUACUUUGAGGCAGCAACUUACGAACACUGAAGUCAGGCGAUUAGAGAAAAAUGUGAAAGAGGUAUUGGAAGAUUUUGCUGAAGACAGCGAGAAGAAGGUAAAACUGCUCACUGGCAAACGAGUUCAGCUGGCUGAAGACCUCAAGAAAGUUAGAGAAAUUCAAGAAAAACUUGAUGCUUUUAUUGAAGCUCUUCAUCAGGAGAAAUAAAUGUUAAGACAGAUGUAUACAUGGAUGUACACAAAAAUGUAUCCAGAGAGUAAAUAUCAACCAUCUUUGACACAGUCCAAAAAGAAUUCAUUGUUUUCAAAAUCCUACUCAUAAUAUAAUCACCUCCGCAUACAUGUGAAGAAAGAAAACUCCAAAGUCUUUUGUCCUGCCUUUUUUCCUUCUGCUAUUCCACCUUUCUAAACAUGAAAUAAAGUCAUGGGGUAAAACUACUUAAUGCGAAUCAGAGGCACUUUGACCAUCAGUUGCCUUUUGAAUGCACGAAGAGUGGAAAUGGCAUUAAAAUCCUAUCUUAUUGUAUUGAAGUGACACAUUGAGAUAAUACAAGUGGUGUGGCCGUUAGGUUGAGCCCUUGACGAUAAGAAACUUGCUGUCCUGCUUGUGUCAUUUGUGGUGGCACUAUUUGUGGUGGCACUCGUUCACCUAAUUCAUUAGCCGGUGCUGCUCAGAGUCCGUUUCUUCUCUGGGUAAAAAAUGCCAGGUGUUGUGAAAAGCUAUCAAUUGUAUAUAAAGUGAUGGUAACCCGCUAA
Herpailurus yagouaroundi (jaguarundi) is the source of this 3727-nucleotide RNA transcript. It is a transcript of the gene named OPA1 mitochondrial dynamin like GTPase, with no coding region annotated. The record is from RefSeq and is a predicted model, not a curated record. The transcript is spliced from 32 exons. NCBI's taxonomy places the organism in Eukaryota, Metazoa, Chordata, Mammalia, Carnivora, Felidae.